Long non-coding RNA from Anolis carolinensis (green anole), 439 nucleotides. RefSeq lists it as uncharacterized. The record is from RefSeq and is a predicted model, not a curated record. The transcript is spliced from 3 exons. Lineage: Eukaryota; Metazoa; Chordata; Lepidosauria; Squamata; Anolidae.
AGACAACAGGACAAGACAAACAGAAAGAGAGAAAAAGAAAAAUGAAAGAGGCUGAAAUUUGGGCAGACAGUAAAGGCCAAAAAAAAAAAAGGAGCUUAAUCAUCAACAAGAAAAAAUGGAGGCUUGAAGGUCAAAGCUAGAACCUUUAUAUAAUUCCUCCCACAAAGUUGGAAAGUGAUUUAUCCAGUAGCAAGACUAUGAGAAAAGGGGAAAUCCUGGCCUCUGCAGAGCACAAGACAGAGAAGAAAUACAAGUAAAGGGAUGAACGGCUGCCAGACACAGAAAUAUUGUUGCCUUUAAUAUGGUGUCUUUCACCAUUUUUUCUAGUCCACUCACACUCCAUCCAUCUGUUCCUUCAAAAUAAAUGGCAAGAAGGUAACACCAGUCAUUCUGCAAACACAGCCCUUAAAGGAAGAAGACUUUUGCCAAUAUACUUACA